CGCUAACCUAAGAGAUUAGGCGUUCCCUUCGGGGACGCAAUGACAGGUGGUGCAUGGUCGUCGUCAGCUCGUGUCGUGAGAUGUUGGGUUAAGUCCCGCAACGAGCGCAACCCUUGUUACUAGUUGCCAGCAUUUAGUUGGGCACUCUAGUGAGACUGCCGGUGACAAACCGGAGGAAGGUGGGGACGACGUCAGAUCAUCAUGCCCCUUAUGACCUGGGCUACACACGUGCUACAAUGGAUGGUACAACGAGUUGCGAACUCGCGAGAGUAAGCUAAUCUCUUAAAGCCGUUCUCAGUUCGGACUGUAGGCUGCAACUCGCCUACAUGAAGUCGGAAUCGCUAGUAAUCGCGGAUCAGCAUGCCGCGGUGAAUACGUUCCCGGGCCUUGUACACACCGCCCGUCACACCAUGGAAGUUUGCAAUGCCCAAAGUCGGUGGCCUAACCAUUUGGAGGGAACCGCCUAAGGCAGGGCAGAUGACUGGGGUGAAGUCGUAACAAGGUAGCCGUAGGAGAACCUGCGGCUGGAUCACCUCCUUUCUAAGGA
RNAcentral lists this ribosomal RNA (547 nucleotides) under Lactiplantibacillus plantarum. RNAcentral's name for it is "bacterial SSU rRNA". It matches the Rfam family "Bacterial small subunit ribosomal RNA", at positions 992 to 1533 of the family's 1533-position model. Lineage: Bacteria; Bacillati; Bacillota; Bacilli; Lactobacillales; Lactobacillaceae. The record is from RNAcentral.